GAAUUCGCCCUUAGAGUUUGAUCCUGGCUCAGGAUGAACGCUGGCGGCGUGCUUAACACAUGCAAGUCGAACGAUGACUUUUGUGCUUGCACAAAAUGAUUAGUGGCGAACGGGUGAGUAACACGUGAGUAACCUGCCCUUAACUUCGGGAUAAGCCUGGGAAACCGGGUCUAAUACCGGAUACGACGGAUUCCCGCAUGGGGGUCCGUGGAAAGCUUGAUGCGGUUUUGGAUGGACUCGCGGCCUAUCAGCUAGUUGGUUGGGGUAAUGGCCCACCAAGGCGACGACGGGUAGCCGGCCUGAGAGGGUGACCGGCCACACUGGGACUGAGACACGGCCCAGACUCCUACGGGAGGCAGCAGUGGGGAAUAUUGCACAAUGGGGGAAACCCUGAUGCAGCGAUGCCGCGUGGAGGAAGAAGGUUUUCGGAUUGUAAACUCCUGUCUUAAAGGACGAUAAUGACGGUACUUUAGGAGGAAGCUCCGGCUAACUACGUGCCAGCAGCCGCGGUAAUACGUAGGGAGCGAGCGUUGUCCGGAAUUACUGGGUGUAAAGGGAGCGUAGGCGGGACGGCAAGUCAGAUGUGAAAACCACGGGCUCAACCUGUGGACUGCAUUUGAAACUGUUGUUCUUGAGUGAAGUAGAGGUAAGCGGAAUUCCUGGUGUAGCGGUGAAAUGCGUAGAUAUCAGGAGGAACACCGGUGGCGAAGGCAGCUUACUGGGCUUUAACUGACGCUGAGGCACGAAAGCAUGGGUAGCAAACAGGAUUAGAUACCCUGGUAGUCCAUGCCGUAAACGAUG
This 801-nucleotide ribosomal RNA is filed under the name uncultured bacterium. RNAcentral's name for it is "bacterial SSU rRNA". It matches the Rfam family "Bacterial small subunit ribosomal RNA", at positions 1 to 811 of the family's 1533-position model. The record is from RNAcentral.